RNAcentral lists this ribosomal RNA (587 nucleotides) under uncultured fungus. RNAcentral's name for it is "eukaryotic LSU rRNA". The stretch from base 237 to 390 matches the Rfam family "5.8S ribosomal RNA". Lineage: Eukaryota; Fungi. The record is from RNAcentral.
AAGUCGUAACAAGGUUUCCGUAGGUGAACCUGCGGAAGGAUCAUUACCGAGUUAGGGGUCUCAGGCCCCGACCUCCAACCCUUUGUCUACUUAAACCACGUUGCUUCGGCGGACCCGUCCCGGUGCCUCGUGCCUGGGACCGCCGGGGGGAUGACCCCUGGCCCGUGCCCGCCGAUAGCCUAAUUAUUAACUCUUGAUGAAUUCUGUCGUCUGAGUGUCUAUAUAAAUAAGCACAAAACUUUCAACAACGGAUCUCUUGGUUCUGGCAUCGAUGAAGAACGCAGCGAAAUGCGAUAAGUAAUGCGAAUUGCAGAAUUCCGUGAGUCAUCGAAUCUUUGAACGCACAUUGCGCCCUCUGGUAUUCCGGAGGGCAUGCCUGUUCGAGCGUCAUUAUCAACCCUCAAGCCCGGCUUGAUGUUGGACCUGGUCGCGAGAGCGACCGGUCCCAAAGAGAACGACGGCGUCGCGAGGACCCUCGGUACAAUGAGCUUUUCACGAAGCACGUACUGUAGCGGCCCCGUGGCCCGGUCACCCAUCUUACUUCUAAGGUUGACCUCGGAUCAGGUAGGGAUCCCCGCUGAACUUAA